GACGAACCGUGCGAACGUUGUUCGGAAUCACUGGGCUUAAAGGGCGCGUAGGCGGGUUGCUAAGUCUGAAGUGAAAGCCCACGGCUCAACCGUGGAAGUGCUUUGGAUACUGGCGACCUCGAGGGAGGUAGGGGCGUGCGGAACUUCCGGUGGAGCGGUGAAAUGCGUAGAUAUCGGAAGGAACACCGGUGGCGAAAGCGGCGCGCUGGACCUUUACUGACGCUGAGGCGCGAAAGCCAGGGGAGCAAACGGG
RNAcentral lists this ribosomal RNA (253 nucleotides) under uncultured bacterium. RNAcentral describes it as "partial 16S ribosomal RNA". It matches the Rfam family "Bacterial small subunit ribosomal RNA", at positions 524 to 776 of the family's 1533-position model. The record is from RNAcentral.